GAAACAAGCAGCAGGGCUGGAAAGCCAGACUGUUACUAAGUCUGGCAUCACAGUAACCCCGUGCUCCUUUCCAACUCUGGUGUGCAAAUUUGCUCAUUAAGACUGACCAAAGCAGGAUCCUCUUAAUGGAACCCUCUCUGAUACCUUGAGCUGAAACAUGCAAAAGGAUCCAAGCAAUGACCUUGAGGCCUAGCCACUAGCUUCUCCAGCUCCCUUUGUGCCCUCUGAGCCUCUAAUGUUGGAAGUAGAUUUCUGGCCACAACAUGAAACACGGGAUACUGGGAGGAGCAGCAAUGCUGAUUGAAAAGUAAGGAGCAGAAAAUUUCCUGGACCAAGAAUUCAAGAAGGAAAGUAGGGAGGGCAGAGAGAAUAUGGGAGGAUGGAGAGGAGGAUGGAAGGAAGGAAAGAUAAAACAGAUUAACCUAGAAGUUCCAUCCAUCUCAAAGAUGAAUUACAUUAAACAUGGAGCUGAAGGAGCUCUGAGGAAUGGCCCCCGACCUACACUGGCCAGUGGGGUGGGGUGUGGGGAGGCACUUGUAUCAGCUGAGGAGCACAGUGCUGAGCUGCGUGGAACAGGACACCUGGAGACCCUCUGUUUCAGACACCAGGCUACGUGAGCACCCAGGGCCACUUCUGGGGUGGGAGGUGAUGGUGCCAAGCUACCAACAGGUGGUGUGAGUCUUUGAAAUCCUCCUUGCUCCCUUUAUACAAAACACCUUCUUGUCUUCCCUUCCCACCUGGGCAACCCCAGAUGGAAGACGCAAGUGCAUGGAAGCCAGCUAAGCGUGAACGUGUGUGUGUGGAAAGGAGGCAGAAACUAGUAUCUUUCCUGGGUGUGGACUCAUCAGUGUUGAUUCUGGGGAGGCUAGAUGUUCAAGGAUCAAAACUCUUAUCGUGUGUGACAAAAAGUUUAUCUUCUACCAUGUUCUUCACAUGCUUCCGAGAAUCCCUAAGGACUGCUUGCCUGCCCUGCACAUCCACACUGGCCGCCCUAUGUGCCCAGGAACAGCAUGGAGCCGGGCUGUGGCUCAGCUCUCAGGCAGUCACCUCUCGCUGGGGAGUGACCACCCUCCCAGGCUGCUGCCAGGCUUCUCGUUCUGCUUUCCUUCAGCCACCGACACAUAUCCAUCCCUGAAUCCCCCAGGGCACCACAGAGAUCAGAAGGCUUGGGAUAACAGAAAAGAAUAAGAAUAUAAAAAAUAAUAUUUUCCCAAAAAAGAACUGGCUCCCAAAAAGCUCCUUCAGGUUUUGUGGGUUCUGCAUUGCUUAGUAUUAAAAUUUUUUGCUUUCCUUGGCUCCUAAUACUGUCUGUGGGAUUAUGGGGGACAGAUCCAGAUCCCUUUAUCUAAAGAGAAGGCUUGGGACCUCUGCAGAUUGCUGUCAACCUGACCACAUUCUGAUUUGGAUCUGCCAACAUCGAGGAUGGAGAGAAUCAGGAAGUACAGAGAAGCUGAGAAGCAAGGAGAUGAGAAAGAUCUGGUAUGAAACAUCAGCACUGUGCUCUAUGACUCAGAACCGUCUCCUAAUAGUAACAUUCUAUCUUUAUUUUAUGUAUAUAGCAACUUUUCUCCAUAAUAAAUUAUCUUCUUAUAAGAAAAACUGAAGGACUCGAGUGGAAAAUUUAACCAAGCUGCAAUUUUUGUAACAUGAGGUCAUACAGGAGGUUCUUUUACAGAAAGAUACUAGGCCUGCCUUAUUCCUAAAGGAAAAAUAACAUGGUGAAACUGCCUUGUUUAUUGAGAAUGCUAAGAUAAUAAAUUGAUGUUAUGAGUCCCAUU
Manis javanica (Malayan pangolin) is the source of this 1778-nucleotide long non-coding RNA. RefSeq lists it as uncharacterized. The record is from RefSeq and is a predicted model, not a curated record. Lineage: Eukaryota; Metazoa; Chordata; Mammalia; Pholidota; Manidae.